This 482-nucleotide ribosomal RNA is filed under the name uncultured bacterium. RNAcentral's name for it is "partial 16S ribosomal RNA". It matches the Rfam family "Bacterial small subunit ribosomal RNA", at positions 29 to 505 of the family's 1533-position model. The record is from RNAcentral.
AUUGAACGCUGGCGGCAGGCCUAACACAUGCAAGUCGAGCGGAUGAAGGGAGCUUGCUCCUGGAUUCAGCGGCGGACGGGUGAGUAAUGCCUAGGAAUCUGCCUGGUAGUGGGGGAUAACGUCCGGAAACGGGCGCUAAUACCGCAUACGUCCUGAGGGAGAAAGUGGGGGAUCUUCGGACCUCACGCUAUCAGAUGAGCCUAGGUCGGAUUAGCUAGUUGGUGGGGUAAAGGCCUACCAAGGGGACGAUCCGUAACUGGUCUGAGAGGAUGAUCAGUCACAAGGGGACGAGGGGCCGGUCCGGGACUCUGAGGGGGGCCGGAGUGGGGAAUGAUGGAGCAGGGGGGAAAGCCGGAACCAGGCAGGCCGCGUGAUGGAAGAAAGUCGUCGGAUUGUAAAGGACCUUAAGGUGGGAAGAAGGGCAGGAAUGUAAUGACGUGUGAGUUAGGGGAUUCCAAAAAGAAAAACCCCCGAAAAACUUG